AAAUAAGCGUAGAGAAAAAUUGUCUUCUGUCUUUGGACUGGAGAUUCAUCCAAGCUCCCCAGUUCUAACCUCCUGGGAGACCCAGCAUCUCAUUGUUAGGGUUUAGCCCAUUCCUUCAUGGGUAAUGUUUCUGGGAACAUUUGUGUUUUGGUUUUCUGGCUUCUAAAAUGUGGACAACUACUCUACCUUGCAGAAAUGUGAUGAGGAAGAUAUCAAUAGUUGGAAAGACCUUUGGAAACACAGGGGAUUGUACUUGAUAAAUAAAUGGCUCUAUUUGUCUGUAUCUGCUCAGCCAAGAAUACCAUCCACCAGACUGCACUCCUCUCAAGAGAAUCAAUAGUAUUCCUUCCAGUCAAUCACCACCAACCCAGAAAAACCAUAACUUCAUUGACAAUUAUGAACUUCACAAAAUUAAUGAGUGCUUAAAGAGAACGACAGAGUGUAACACCUUCACAGAAUUCAGUUAAACAAAGUGUGUUGAACUUGUCACCAUCUGUGAGGCAUUUGUGCUGCACAAAGUUCCAAAUGAUGUUGGUGAGUCAACUGAAACAAAGGCACAUUUGUCCAUUGUGAGCGCUAAUUGCUGUGCCAACCAUUUAAUCUCCUAAGUCUCUGGUUACUCAGAGUAUUAAACCCAAACUGAGGAAUGUGAGAGUUAUUUUAAGAAGAAUUUUGACGUUAUCAAUUAUUCCUGUGACUCUCGGCUAGUGUGGCUCACUGCAUCCCAGCUGACUAUGUGUGCCACCAACGUACUUCGUGCAUACCCAACACCUCAUAAGAGUAACUAUUUCAUGGUUCUUUUUUUUUAACAACAUUUCAAAAAGCUUCAUAAAGAUCAUGGUUUGAAAUAGGGUUCCAGUUCCAGAUAAAAUGGAGGAAGCACACUCUACCCGUCUCUCCAAAGAACGCAGCUCCAAAACCUGGACAGAAUACUCAGUGCAACUGCUUGUGGACUCCAAGAAGUAAACAGUAGUAGGUGGAUUGGAGAAGAAGGCCAGAAUUCCAGUUACCAUUGAAUGGUGCUAAAUUUUCUAUUUUUAUUCUGGUAUCCCCAGUUUAGACUCAAGUCAACAGGACACUCAGAAGUGGGAACGUGGACAGAGAGAGCUCCAAGCAGUCCUCUGAUUCUAGGAAGAAAGGAGACUCCUGAUGCUCAGAGAAUGAGGGAAAUCACUAGUUUUCCUUUUCCCUAUUCUUGCCGGUCUCCAGGAAAUUCCAAGGCAAGGGACCUUGGCAGCAGCAAUGGAAUUGACCAGCAGCAGGGCCUGCAGAGAUGCAAAACCCACCUGCUCUGGUAGGAGGAGCUGUGGUCCUACUGGAUGGAGCGGACCCUCGCUGCUUUUCUCUCUCUUUCUCUCUCUCUCUCUCUCUCUGUCCUCUCAGCACAUGACCCAGGUGUGGGUGCAGCCUCUAGAAGUGCACAGCAGAGCAGACAUGAAAACUGAGUCUGGGAAAGACUGAACAAUAUGACCGUGAUCCCACAGCUGUACAACCACUCCUGAAUUUGAUGUGUCUCCUGGUCCUUCUUCUAGGCCUAGAGGAGGAGCAAACCAGGACUUUGUCAGGUACCUGGGCCUCACCUGCCCCAGAGAAUGAAGAGACCAGUCUCACCGUGCAGUCUGGGCAAGACACCAGGGUGGUGAGGUAGGUGGUUGGUCAGUUUGCCCUGAAGAAUACAGACAGCAGCCCUGGAUUCUGGGAAGAUGGUGACACACGUGUUUGUCCUGCCUUCCUUGUCCUCUCUGCACUUUUUUUGGGUCACACCGCUACCUCGAAGGCUAUCUGAGCAUCAUGUUCUCCUGAGAUGCACAGGGAAGAGAGUGGAUCUGAGCUUCAUUCUCUAAACUUCCAGGUGAAGGCAGUUGACCAGAAGCCAUGGUGGGGGGGCUCUCCUCUCCUCUAGGUGUGGGGCAAAGUCCAAGCUGGUCAGACCCUGUCUCUCCCUGACAGGAGACAAACUAUCUGCUGCCCAGAGGGGCCUUGGUGACCCUGGAGGAAAUAGAGGGGCCUGUGGGGCUGGACUGACUUGUUCCAGGACCUCGCUGCUAGGACAGCAGCCCCUGGUCCUCACCCCCAGGGUGCUUCUUCUGGUCCUCCAGCAGAGGUCCUAGUUUGCCAGGCCAUGUUCAGCAAACCUACAGAAAACUGACUGGGAGAACUACAGACCACAGAAGGAAAAGGAAACCGCAAAACCCACUCGCCAGCUGAUCCCCUUCUAGUUCAUA
Non-coding RNA from Kogia breviceps (pygmy sperm whale), 2225 nucleotides. Lineage: Eukaryota; Metazoa; Chordata; Mammalia; Artiodactyla; Physeteridae. The record is from RefSeq and is a predicted model, not a curated record.